UCUCUCUCUCGACAGCAUACUAUCCCACAUAAGGGCAAUUUGAGCCCUCCAACUUAGCAAUGCAAAUAAUCUGGAUCGGUGGUGGUCUACCUUCGCCUAGGCGCCCAAGCGUAUAGGUGUGGCCUGGUACCGCAGACGCCUAACGCCUAGCGCCUUGCUAGUGUCGACUCGAAAUUUGCCCAUCGACCGCCUUGGCGCGGUCCUCCAAGGCACCGUCAGGUUUGCUAAUUAUCAGUUUCGCAGAGUUCAUAAAACAUAAUCGUCCACUCGCACGCAACUUCUUUUCUCAAUCCGCACAGUUUUGCCUCUUUUCGACAAAACGGCUCACUUUGGUUAGGUUUUCAGCCCUGUGGAGCUAUCGUUGUCUCUAUCUGGCUUUUUGGUUGCUACAUCUACUUGGCCAUUGCAGAAAUAUGUUUUCAAUGAUAUUAAGGGUUGGGACUUGGGAGAAUUCAAGUCUCAAGGAACAUUAAUGGUUCACCUUUGGAAUUCCCUGUAUGACCCUACUGUGAGCUCUUGGCUGCAAAUCACCGUAGAUGCCAGACAAGAAAGGCUGAUCCUUGAAAAUCUGAAGUCGAUCAAUGAAUUUCCUGACAUGAAUAGCAUGGAUGAAUUGAUAUGCAGAUGUGAUGUCCAUGCAAGUUUAGCUUUACUUAGGAGUUUAUCUCAUGAGGAUUGACAAUUGUGCUGAUGCUGUUAAAAGCUGAUUUUAGAAUUGCUUAGGCAGGUGCGAUAUAGAACUCUGAAAUAUCUUGCAGGGGAAGCUAGUUGGGUGAUGUGAGGUAUGAGGUAAAGUGGUAAACUAUUGUUUUAUGACAUUUACAUCCAUAAUGUCUUCUACCAUAUUUGACAUUGUUCCUAGUGGUUCUUCCUCUACAGUUCCCCUCCACGUGUUUUCUUUUUCCUUUUUUAUGCUUAUAUGCAUUUACUAACGCCCAUGUCCUCUUUCAGUGGUUCCUGUUACUUCGAAAAUUUACUCAUGUUUGCUCUUAUCAAGUGAUGUAUAGCAGCAUGGACAUGUAGAUGUAGUCUUCCUCAGAGCCACUAUUACCCUUUUGGUGUAUUGGACAUGCUUCUAGCUUUAUAAAGGAAAGCAGAUGGCCUAACCUGUAAAGGAUUCCAUGUCCUCUCUAUAUAUAUAAAUGUUGAUACUUGAAUA
Macadamia integrifolia is the source of this 1159-nucleotide long non-coding RNA. RefSeq lists it as uncharacterized. The transcript is spliced from 3 exons. Lineage: Eukaryota; Viridiplantae; Streptophyta; Magnoliopsida; Proteales; Proteaceae. The record is from RefSeq and is a predicted model, not a curated record.